CUACGGGUCGCUCCAGUGAGGAAUAUUGGUCAAUGGGCGCAAGCCUGAACCAGCCAUCCCGCGUGAAGGAUGACUGCCCUAUGGGUUGUAAACUUCUUUUGUACACCAAGAAACGAUCUUACGUGUAAGAUUUUGACGGUAGUGUAUGAAUAAGCAUCGGCUAACUCCGUGCCAGCAGCCGCGGUAAGUACGGAGGAUGCAAGCGUUAUCCGGAUUCAUUGGGUUUAAAGGGUACGUAGGUGGCCCAAUAAGUCAGUGGUGAAAGUUUGCCGCUUAACGGUAAAAUUGCCAUUGAUACUGUUGGGCUUGAGUACAGUUGAGGUAGGCGGAAUGUGUAGUGUAGCGGUGAAAUGCUUAGAUAUUACACAGAACCCCGAUUGCGAAGGCAGCUUACUAAACUGUUACUGACGCUGAGGUACGAAAGCGUGGGGAGCGAACAGGAUUAGAUACCCCAGUAGUC
RNAcentral lists this ribosomal RNA (460 nucleotides) under uncultured bacterium. RNAcentral's name for it is "partial 16S ribosomal RNA". It matches the Rfam family "Bacterial small subunit ribosomal RNA", at positions 339 to 795 of the family's 1533-position model. The record is from RNAcentral.